RNAcentral lists this ribosomal RNA (434 nucleotides) under uncultured bacterium. RNAcentral describes it as "partial 16S ribosomal RNA". It matches the Rfam family "Bacterial small subunit ribosomal RNA", at positions 29 to 507 of the family's 1533-position model. The record is from RNAcentral.
AGCGAACGCUGGCGGCAGGCCUAACACAUGCAAGUCGAACGAACCUUCCGGGGUUAGUGGCGGACGGGCGAGUACCACGUGGGAACGUGCCUUUAGGACAGGAAUAACUUAGGGACACUACUGCUAAUACAGCCUGUGAACUUCGGGGGAAAGACCUAUCGCCCUGAGAGCGGCCCGCGGCUGAUUAGCUAGUUUGUUGAGGUAAUGGCUCACCACGGCGACCCUCAGUAGCUGGUCUGAGAGGAUGAUCAGCCACAUUGGGACUGAGACACGGCCCAAACUCCUACGAGAGGCAGCAGUGGGGAAUCUUGAGCAAUGGGCGAAAGCCUGACGCUGCCAUGCCGCGUGAAUGAUGAAGGUCUUAGGAGUGUAAAAGUCUUUCGCCGGGGACGAUAAUGACGGUACCCGGAGAAGAAGCCCCGGCUAACUUCGUG